AUACAGAGGGUGCGAGCGUUAAUCGGAAUUACUGGGCGUAAAGCGCGCGUAGGCGGCUUAUUAAGUCAGAUGUGAAAUCCCCGGGCUCAACCUGGGAACUGCAUCUGAUACUGGUAAGCUAGAGUUUUGGAGAGGGAAGUAGAAUUUCAGGUGUAGCGGUGAAAUGCAUAGAGAUCUGAAGGAAUACCAGUGGCGAAGGCGACUUCCUGGCCAAAAACUGACGCUGAGGUGCGAAAGCGUGGUUAGCAAACGGGAUUAGAUACCCCAGUAGUCC
Molecule: ribosomal RNA, 274 nt
Filed under: uncultured bacterium
Lineage: Bacteria
Description: partial 16S ribosomal RNA
Rfam family: Bacterial small subunit ribosomal RNA
Source: RNAcentral